Molecule: RNA transcript, 2910 nt
Organism: Rosa chinensis
Lineage: Eukaryota; Viridiplantae; Streptophyta; Magnoliopsida; Rosales; Rosaceae
Exons: 8
Source: RefSeq, a predicted model, not a curated record
CGUUCGUCCCAAGAACCUCUCUAUCCUUCGUGGACGAAGAUCCUUCAUCCCAAAUUGAAAUUAGGGUUCAUCGAAACCCUCCCAAUUCCCAAUUCCCCCAAUUCCUUGUCAGAAUGAAACGAAAGCAAGUUCCAAAAUCUUAUCCGGAAGGUGACAAUGUUUUUGUCAGCGAUUACAUCGACUUUCAUGGUGGAAAUUUAUUCCACGAAGUGAAGGAUUCAAACCGUCGUACACUGUUCGAGAUCCCUCUCCGGGAUCUCCAAAGAUUUUCAAGGGAUGUGUUUUCCGGAGUGAUUACUCGUCGGCGAGAGGGAAAACCGAUCGGUUCCCUCUUGCCGAAGAAUCUUCAGGUAAUAGAUCAUCGAGUGAUCUUGCCCAAGAUUUCGGAAUCCGAUGGUUAUGAUUAUGAGCGACGGGUUGAAGAGUUCUUUGUGGCUGUGUUUCCGAACCCAAAUGCAGAGCUUGCCGAUUUUCUUAGAAAACUCAGGCAACCACAACUGAAAAUGAGACAGUUUGAGUCUCUAUAUUUUCAUUACUUUCUUUUGAACGAGGAACAACGUGCGGAUUUUGUAAAGAAUUCAGUGGAUAAUCUCCGUAAUAAGAGAGUUAUCUUUAAAGGGUCAUUUUUCAAGUGGGAAGUGGCUUAUGAGAAGUGGGAGGCAUUCGUGAAUGGGGGCAGCAAUAAAAAAUAUGAUUUGCUACAGGCUAGUACGAAGGAUAGCGGGGCUGCAAUGGUUUGGAAUUUUAAGAGCAGAAGAAAUCCAGGCAACUGUGUGGAUGAAGCUGAGUUUGGACGUAACAUCGUUCAUCACAUUAAUGAAAGGCGAGAAAAGGCAACACCACCAAUGUGCCCACUGGAUAAGAACCAGAUAGGCCAUGCAGUUCAUAGAGUGAUGCCUGGCAUCAACUCUAAGUUGUUUGACUUCAUGUUUGAUUGUUAUGUUGACAUGGACUUUGAUAAAGUCCUUGUUGACCCCCCCAAGAGCAAUUGAAUUCUGAUUUAUUUAUUAGUAAUAUCACCAUGUGAUAUUACUAGUACUAUCUAAUUUAUUGAGAGACAGCAUGUAGCUGGUUUGAAUCAUCCUUUGUUUGCAUUUUUUGGACAACCAAGUGUUGUGGAGAGUUCAAUGAGGUCAGUAGCUGGUUUGAAGCAUCGUUGCAUUGUUUGGACAUCCUGCUGAAAGGGUUGAUGCAGACACAGGGCAUACAGUAGAUAGAGCUGCUCCGGAUGAAAUGGGUGCAUCUAAUGAUUGGUGCAACAUGGGCAGAUAGAUGGUUUUGGAGAGGGAUUUUCAAUUAGGGAGCUUUGUGCAAGAAGAAUGAGAAUUGGAUACGAACAGCAUUGCAAAACAGUAGGCCCCCUUGAGGGUACUGCUCACAUUACAGUUCUGUUGGGCAGGACAGGUAAUAGGGCUUUGAGGCACCGCCUUCUGUUCCUUAAAGGCUGUUGUUACCAGAAAUCCCAAGGCCAUGAUUCAUCUAUACAGCACAGGCGCAUUUUAUUUUUUCCUGGCAUAUCCGGAAUCUCAUUUGAGUUGCCCAACUCUUGUCAGUGACUCAUGUUCACCAAGCAUUUCAUGGUGGUGAAGAUGCUGCAGUUUCUUCUUCCUUCUCUCUGGCGAAACAUGUGGCUUUGCAACCGAGCAGAGGAGUCUGAUGAUGGAUUCUCAUAGCCUACCCAAACUCCCCAAGAACGUGUGCGCCUCAGUUGUCUGCGUGUUCUACAUCAACUUGCAGCUAGCACCACACGUGCUGAAGCAAUGGCAGCAACUAGUGUAGAAACACCUCAGCAACAACCGUGAGAGCUUUUGUGACCCCAAUUUCACAGCUUUCCUUCUUCCUCUGCACUCUCACAUGCAUGAAUUCUACCAGAAGCCUGAAGUGGGUUGUGACUAUAUUCGCAAAGGGCAUACCAGCCAGAGAUGCUGCUGUGACUAUAUAUACAUGUUUUCUCAUCUUCUUGGUUCUGCAAGGAAAAGGUUUUCUUAAGGGUCACUGGUUAUUAAGAACUGGCACAGAUGUAUUUACGAGGCCUCCAUGGCUAGAUGUGAUGGAAAACAUGGUUGUGACUAGCUUACUGCAAAUCACUCUCCAUCUCCGAUAUGAGUUCCCUGUUCCAAGGGAGGCAGAGGCAAGCCCAAGGCCACCAAAUCCGUCUCCAGGUCCUCCAAGGCUGGCCUCCAAUUUCCCGUCGGCCGUAUCGCUCGCUUCCUCAAAUCCGGCCGUCCUCUAGUAUUUCGCCUCUGAGGAAACUGUUCCGGGAGAGUUGGCACUCGGUUGAAAACACCUUUGUUUCCUGAAAACAUAUAUAGCAGAAGAAGGCUCCUAAUGCCAUCAAAGAGAACAGGAAUUUUGCCCAGAAGGCAAUGGGAACAAAUGAUGUCAGGGUGGAUAUGAAGUUGAACAAGCAAUUCUGGGGCAGAGGAAUCAGGAAUCAGGAAUGUCCCAAGAAGAAUCAGGGUUUGCAUUGCUCGCAAGAGGAAUGAUGAUGAAGAUGCGAAGGAAUUGGAGCUAUACUCCCUUGUGACUGGAAUUAUAUUAAGCUUUUUGACAAAACUUUCAGAGUGUUAUGAGAAGAAACAUAUAUUACUCUUGAAAAUUAUAAUAGUAGUCUUAUACUUGUGAUUACUAGACAAGUGGGAGUUCGAAACUUGGAACCUCAGUUCUUGGUCAAAACCUGAAUUGUUCUAGAAAGUUUGUUCUUUUAGCAGAGAAAGACGGGCAUCUGGCUGGUUUCCAUGUAUGUUAAAUUUCUGUUCUGCAUUUUGUCGAUCUGCCUGCCAGAUUUAGACAUAUGUGGGAACUGGAGAAGCAUGCUGCCUUGUAAAGUGGAAAUUGGUGUUUCCUAUAGUGAACGUACUUCUUUUGAACGACAAAACGGAUUUGUAUCUAUGAAGAGCCAUUUGUAUA